RNAcentral lists this ribosomal RNA (407 nucleotides) under Aulacorthum solani (potato aphid). RNAcentral's name for it is "partial 12S small subunit ribosomal RNA". Lineage: Eukaryota; Metazoa; Arthropoda; Insecta; Hemiptera; Aphididae. The record is from RNAcentral.
GUUAUGUUCUUUAAAUUUAAAAAAUUUGGCGGUAUUUUAGUCUUAUUAGAGGAACCUGUUUUUUAAUUGAUAAUCCACGAUUAAUUUUACUUAUUUUAUUUUAAUUCAUAUAUCGCUGUCAUGAAUAUAUUUAAAAAUUAAUUUUCUUUAUUUAUUGUUAUAAUUUAUGUUAAGUCAAGAUGUGGUUUAUAAAUAAGUGUAUAAUGGGUUACAUUAAAUUUUAUUUAUGGAUUUUAAAUGAAAAUUAAAAUGAAAUUGGAUUUAAUAGUAAAUUUAUUUAUUUAAUUAAUAUGAAGAAAGAUCUAAAAUAUGUACAUAUUGCCCGUCAUUCUUAUUAAAAAUAAGACAAGUCGUAACAAAGUAAAUGUACUGGAAAGUGUAUUUAGAAAGAUUAUAUUUUAUAUAAA